GGUUACUCCGUGGCUGUGGGAGACUUCAAUGGCGAUGGCGUAGAAGAUUUUGUGUCAGGAGUUCCAAGAGCAGCGAGGACUUUGGGAAUGGUUUAUAUUUACGAUGGGAAAAACAUGUCCUCCUUAUACAAUUUCACUGGUGAACAGGUA
Psammomys obesus (fat sand rat) is the source of this 150-nucleotide long non-coding RNA. RefSeq lists it as uncharacterized. The transcript is spliced from 3 exons. The record is from RefSeq and is a predicted model, not a curated record. Lineage: Eukaryota; Metazoa; Chordata; Mammalia; Rodentia; Muridae.